Long non-coding RNA from Neopsephotus bourkii (Bourke's parrot), 2171 nucleotides. RefSeq lists it as uncharacterized. Lineage: Eukaryota; Metazoa; Chordata; Aves; Psittaciformes; Psittacidae. The transcript is spliced from 4 exons. The record is from RefSeq and is a predicted model, not a curated record.
AAAGGAAUUACCUUAGCAUAAAUGUCAUUAGACAGUUUUAGAAGGGCUUGAAAUUACUGAAAAUUACACUGAGCUUUACUUCCGUCUCAAAAGAAUUAGCAAAUACAGAAAAAUAAUAUGACAUAUGCAGGGGCUGACAGCCAACAGUAGAUAAAACAAAACAUGUGAUAUAGACAUUUAAAAAAUUACUGGAAUAGUCUGGCAGGAAAAUAAAACAGUGUCAGGUGAGGCCCUAUCCUGAAAAAGAAAUACUUAAGAAUUGGAAAGCAACGCAUGGAAAUAAAUGGUAACUUUUUGUAGUGUAAAAAGUUGAUAUUGGGUGUUGUGGGGUUGUGUAUGAUGAUGUGCAAGUUGGCAUCUUUAAAAAUGUGGAGAAAGAAAUUCUUAACAAAAUAGUAAUAUUUGCAGACUUCUGUGUGAGAACUGGUGGAUGUAAAGGAACUGUUUGGUAAGUUGCCAGAUAGACUAUAGAAUGGUAGAAAUAUGUAGAAUAAAAGCAGUAGAAAGUAAGUUGCAUUUUCCUACUGAAACUUCUGCCAGCAGCAAUAAAUUGAAGUAGUCAGUGUUAAAAAAAAAAUUUUUAAAGAAUGUUAAAAUAAUAUUUGAGUCACACAUGAUAAAUGUGUAAAAUUAACUUUCUGAAUGCUGAUAGGACUUGAAAAAGAAUUUGAUAUUUAUAUAGAUACUGAACAUAUCCACGAUUAUAUUAAACAGAAAAUCUUGCCCAGAAUUUAUCUGGGAGCUGGAUAUUCCAUAUGACAAGUCUUAUGUAGAUAACAGCAUCUUGGGUCAAUCAACCCACUAGUUUGAUCUCAGUUGAUAAUUUUUUUAUUCCUUUGGUCAUCAAGCCCAGUACUUAGGUCAGAGCAGCCACUUAAAGGAACAGAAAUUGCUGUAUUUUCUCAGGAAAUGAGCGUAUGGGCUUGCUAAUAAUGCAGUAUAAAUUGCACAUUUUACAUCAGCUUUUAUAAUCAAUCAGCUUUGCAUAGCUGUUUCAUAGUGGCCUCAAAGGAGACUUUAAUGUAACAGAACUCUUUAAUUUAUUUUUUAUUAAAUAUUGAUUUUGGACUGGAAAGAAACCAUCAGAACCUGAUAUCAAUAUUCUCAGCUGUUUACAUUUUAAUGUGAUAUAAAUAGCUGUUAAACUUCCAUGUCUAAAAUUACAAUUUAUGGAUUAGUUUUUAUCCACUUGUUUCUUUCUGCUAGUUGUAAGAAGUAUGUAAGUGGCCAUGCAAUUUAAGGUUUGUUAAUGACUGGAUAUUUGCAACCUCAGUAUCCUGACUGUUGGACUGUGGAGCUAGGUGAGAUAGUACACAGAUCUUUUUCAGUUUUCUUCUCACAUAAAGGCAAAAUUAUGUAGCUUGUUCCUCAAAAUAGCUUUUUUCUUGGCAUAUUUUAUAUACGGUGUCUAAAAGAUACCGUCAGAAAAUGCUGAGUGACACUACACAUUUUUAAUGACAUACUUUAUGUUUGUAUGGCAGUAUUUUAAAAUAGGGUAAGGAACUGUAUGGACAUUUUUAACUUUCAUAUAGACACACACACAUGUACACAGUAAAGUUAGCCAAUAAUUUUCACAGGCAAUAAAGCAAAUAUAUGUAUAAGAUUCUUCUUUCAAAACCACUCUAUUUCCAGUUUUAGAUCUCUCUCAACAUUUCAGAGAAAUCCUCAGCUGCUGGUUGACAGGCCUUGGCAUCAACUAGGAAUGUCAGAGGAGAAAGAAUCCUAUAGUUAUGGAGAAGAAAAUUUCUGUUGACAGGAAGAUGGAGAGUAACUCUUCUGCAAGAACAUUAUAAAGAAAGACACAGAAGAAGAGGAAGCCAGUAUGCUUAAACAAAGUAAAGAAGAUGCUGUUCCAUUUUGGAGGUGGCAGGUCCAGGCCCAAUGUCUCCACUGCACUAGCAGGGCACUGGAAAGAGGACCACAUUUAGAAGAUCAGACAGCUAGGAAGAGAUAGUGACUCCAUCAGUGGUAUGGAAACCAGAUCCCUCUAGGACUUGGAAACUGAGGAUGUAAAGAAGCUCACAGAUGGGAAACAUUUGACAUUGUAGCACUUGAUUUGAAAAAGUUUUAAAUAAUUGCAAUUUUUCAGGAUGCCUGAUUUUAACAGGAAACUGCUUUCCUACAAAUGUAUUUAUCAUGGAAAGUGGUUUCAGAAGGACUUCUGUGAUACU